CGUAAAGGGUACGUAGGCGGUUUUUGAUUGAUAUGUGAUUUAAAGAGAACGGGUUCAACCUUUCGAAAACACAUCUGAUUAUAAAACUAGAGUUUAGUGGAGGAUUGUUGAACUGCUAGUUUAAAGUUAAAAUUUGUUAGAUUAGUCGGGCAACCUGCGGUGUAAACUACUUUCCAUAGUAAAACUGACGUUCAUGUACAAAAGUAUGGGGAUUAAAUAGGAUUAGAGACCCUAGUAGUCCAUACCCUGACCUAUGAGUGUUAAAUGGGAGAUAAAAUUAUUAACAUCUUCGUGUUUCAGCUAACGCGGAAACACUCCGCCUGGGGACUACGGUCGCAAGAUUAAAACUACAAAGGAAUUGACGGAGAUCAGUACGUGCGGUGGAACAUGUGAUUUUAAAUGCCGGUCAAUACGCGCAAACCUUACCCUAUCUUGUUCCUUUCCUUACCAAACCG
Molecule: ribosomal RNA, 455 nt
Filed under: uncultured bacterium
Lineage: Bacteria
Description: bacterial SSU rRNA
Rfam family: Bacterial small subunit ribosomal RNA
Source: RNAcentral